RNAcentral lists this ribosomal RNA (522 nucleotides) under uncultured bacterium. RNAcentral describes it as "bacterial SSU rRNA". It matches the Rfam family "Bacterial small subunit ribosomal RNA", at positions 777 to 1297 of the family's 1533-position model. The record is from RNAcentral.
AAUAGAUACCCGGGUAGUCCACGCCGUAAACGAUGAGUGCUAAGUGUUAGAGGGUUUCCGCCCUUUAGUGCUGCAGCUAACGCAUUAAGCACUCCGCCUGGGGAGUACGGCCGCAAGGCUGAAACUCAAAGGAAUUGACGGGGGCCCGCACAAGCGGUGGAGCAUGUGGUUUAAUUCGAAGCAACGCGAAGAACCUUACCAGGUCUUGACAUCCUCUGCUAACCCUAGAGAUAGGGCGUUCCCCUUCGGGGGACAGAGUGACAGGUGGUGCAUGGUUGUCGUCAGCUCGUGUCGUGAGAUGUUGGGUUAAGUCCCGCAACGAGCGCAACCCUUGAUCUUAGUUGCCAGCAUUUAGUUGGGCACUCUAAGGUGACUGCCGGUGACAAACCGGAGGAAGGUGGGGAUGACGUCAAAUCAUCAUGCCCCUUAUGACCUGGGCUACACACGUGCUACAAUGGAUGGUACAAAGAGCUGCGAACCCGCGAGGGUAAGCCAAUCUCAUAAAGCCAUUCUCAGUUCGGA